Molecule: long non-coding RNA, 220 nt
Filed under: Elaeis guineensis (African oil palm)
Lineage: Eukaryota; Viridiplantae; Streptophyta; Magnoliopsida; Arecales; Arecaceae
Description: long non-coding RNA (EGUI_LNC077541)
Source: RNAcentral
GUCCCUCGAUCCAGUCGUCUGGAAAUCAUGUUGAUGACUCCAGCAGUAGGUUGAUCAUUCGCCGCCUCUUCAGUCGGUUGGGAUUGUUGGUCAGGAAGGGGCCGAGCCGGUGGGUCCCUUCGGUACUUUUCAAGAUACCCUCAUCGUAUGAGGGCUCCUAUUUCAUCCUUGAGUUGGAUGCAUUGCUCGGUGGUAUAACCGUGACCCCGAUGGAACUGAC